RNAcentral lists this ribosomal RNA (372 nucleotides) under uncultured organism. RNAcentral's name for it is "bacterial SSU rRNA". It matches the Rfam family "Bacterial small subunit ribosomal RNA", at positions 526 to 896 of the family's 1533-position model. The record is from RNAcentral.
CGUAGGGUGCGAGCGUUAAUCGGAAUUACUGGGCGUAAAGCGUGCGCAGGCGGUUUUGUAAGACAGGCGUGAAAUCCCCGGGCUCAACCUGGGAACUGCGUUUGUGACUGCAAGGCUAGAGUAUGGCAGAGGGGGGUGGAACUCCACGUGUAGCAGUGAAAUGCGUAGAGAUGUGGAGGAACACCGAUGGCGAAGGCAGCCCCCUGGGCCAAUACUGACGCUCAUGCACGAAAGCGUGGGUAGCAAACAGGAUUAGAUACCCUGGUAGUCCACGCCCUAAACGAUGUCAACUAGGUGUUGGGUAGGGUAAAACCAUUUAGUACCGGAGCUAACGCGUGAAGUUGACCGCCUGGGGAUACGGCCGCAAGGUUA